CGGUUCCUUAAGUCUGAUGUGAAAGCCCCCGGCUCAACCGGGGAGGGUCAUUGGAAACUGGGGAACUUGAGUGCAGAAGAGGAGAGUGGAAUUCCACGUGUAGCGGUGAAAUGCGUAGAGAUGUGGAGGAACACCAGUGGCGAAGGCGACUCUCUGGUCUGCAACUGACGCUGAGGAGUGAAAGCGUGGGGAGCGAACAGGAUUAGAUACCCUGGUAGUCCACGCCGUAAACGAUGAGUGCUAAGUGUUAGGGGGUUUCCGCCCCUUAGUGCUGCAGCUAACGCAUUAAGCACUCCGCCUGGGGAGUACGGUCGCAAGACUGAAACUCAAAGGAAUUGACGGGGGCCCGCACAAGCGGUGGAGCAUGUGGUUUAAUUCGAAGCAACGCGAAGAACCUUACCAGGUCUUGACAUCCUCUGACAAUCCUAGAGAUAGGACGUCCCCUUCGGGGGCAGAGUGACAGGUGGUGCAUGGUUGUCGUCAGCUCGUGUCGUGAGAUGUUGGGUUAAGUCCCGCAACGAGCGCAACCCUUGAUCUUAGUUGCCAGCAUUCAGUUGGGCACUCUAAGGUGACUGCCGGUGACAAACCGGAGGAAGGUGGGGAUGACGUCAAAUCAUCAUGCCCCUUAUGACCUGGGCUACACACGUGCUACAAUGGACAGAACAAAGGGCAGCGAAACCGCGAGGUUAAGCCAAUCCCACAAAUCUGUUCUCAGUUCGGAUCGCAGUCUGCAACUCGACUGCGUGAAGCUGGA
RNAcentral lists this ribosomal RNA (754 nucleotides) under uncultured bacterium. RNAcentral describes it as "bacterial SSU rRNA". It matches the Rfam family "Bacterial small subunit ribosomal RNA", at positions 576 to 1330 of the family's 1533-position model. The record is from RNAcentral.